UAGCUCAAGUGGUAGAGCACGUGCUUAGCACGCACAAGGUCCUGGGUUCAAUCCCAG
RNAcentral lists this transfer RNA (57 nucleotides) under Camelus bactrianus (Bactrian camel). It matches the Rfam family "tRNA", at positions 8 to 63 of the family's 71-position model. Rfam says of the family: Transfer RNA (tRNA) molecules are approximately 80 nucleotides in length. Their secondary structure includes four short double-helical elements and three loops (D, anti-codon, and T loops). Further hydrogen bonds mediate the characteristic L-shaped molecular structure. tRNAs have two regions of fundamental functional importance: the anti-codon, which is responsible for specific mRNA codon recognition, and the 3' end, to which the tRNAs corresponding amino acid is attached (by aminoacyl-tRNA synthetases). tRNAs cope with the degeneracy of the genetic code in two manners: having more than one tRNA (with a specific anti-codon) for a particular amino acid; and 'wobble' base-pairing, i.e. permitting non-standard base-pairing at the 3rd anti-codon position. RNAcentral also lists the same sequence under 2 other names. The record is from Rfam by way of RNAcentral. Lineage: Eukaryota; Metazoa; Chordata; Mammalia; Artiodactyla; Camelidae.